CCCGGGGCUCGGUCUCCUUGCUGAAUAGUCGGGCCGGCUUUCCUGGUAGACGGGGCUCGGGCCGGUCAAGUGUGGCACCAGCAGCAAGACGGACGAGGCUCCUGUCCGGCCUCGGGGACUUCCGCUCCCUGGACAUUCCUGGUCAUCUCUCCUAGCACGUGCCGCAUCCAGACGUGGCCCCUGGGUCGGCCCACCCUGCCUAGAUCCCACUAGCACAGGGACCAGGCAUCCUGGCCAGACCCUGCUGUUGGCACGAGCUUAUCGGGAACGUGGCUGGACUCUCGCAGAGGAGGGGACAGCCAGCCCUCCACACAGGCCUCUGCUUUUGUGUUUGGGAUGAUUGCUUGUAAAAGGACCAAAAACUUGGCUGGGCCUUUCCUUAAAACUCAUGAAAAGCCGUGAGUUUUUACAAGACCCACAUGCAUCGAGUGUCUGAGACCGCAGUUUACCUCAAAUGCACCCCAUUGACUUCUGCCGGCACGGUUUCUUCCUUUUCUGUUCUUCACACUGGGGAUGUGCCGCCCCCCCCCCCCCCCCCCCCCCAAGCCCUGCCCGGUCUCUGAGGGCAUGGCUGAUGCCGUAGUGAUCCCUGCUGCUGCUCCCGGGCACCUCUGCCAGACUCUGCUCCCUCACAUGCUUGGCCGGAGAGCCUGCCAUGCUUCUCUUCAGGUUGAGGAGAACUUUCUUUCUCGCUAGUGUGCCGCUUGGCCACAGAGUCCUGGCCACGUGCUCAGCGGCCACGGUGGCCUCCUCCGUGUCUGUGGUUCUCUCGUCGCUGCAGCUCAAGUGGCCUCCGGGAGCUUCAAAUUACAUGGUCUGCUGCGUGACCGUCACCUCGUGGCAUUCAUUCAGAACUCCUGCCAGGCGUGCCCCUGGUGGUGUGCAACUCCAAGCAAACAAGGAUACCCAAAUCAGAGGAAAUCAGUUAUUCUCCAUGAGCUCCUACUUCUGCACCCUGAGUCAGUGCCUUAGGAAAGGAGUCACCACACCUUCCCCAAGGGAAAGUCUUUCACACUUUGAGUGGCUCUUUGUGGUGGGGCAGGAAUGGGGCCAGUUUUAG
RNAcentral lists this long non-coding RNA (1060 nucleotides) under Felis catus (domestic cat). RNAcentral describes it as "lncRNA (ENSFCAG00000050624.1)". Lineage: Eukaryota; Metazoa; Chordata; Mammalia; Carnivora; Felidae. The record is from RNAcentral.